Molecule: long non-coding RNA, 903 nt
Filed under: Astyanax mexicanus (Mexican tetra)
Lineage: Eukaryota; Metazoa; Chordata; Actinopteri; Characiformes; Acestrorhamphidae
Description: lncRNA (ENSAMXG00005010835.1)
Source: RNAcentral
GAAGUUUAUUUACUUCUCUGCUUUGUGUGGCUGAGGAAGCUGAAGGGUAUAUUGUUCAGUGAGCUUCAGAGAAGCUGCAGCAGGAUGGAUCUGAUGCUCCUCUGGCUGAUUGUGGCCUACUGCUGUAUUCCAUCACUUCUGGCCAUAAAAGAUGAACCUAUACUCUCCCAGAGUCCACCAGCCAUCGUCCUGAACCAGCUCAACUCCACAGCUGAGCUGCACUGCUCCACCACACACGAAAAAGUCGUCGCCCUGUAUCUGAAACAGCGCUACUCCAGCAAGCGAGAAGUGUUGUAUCUGUAUUUCAAACAUUCAACUACAACAAUCCACCCUGACUACAAACAGCGCGUAUCAGUGAAAGGAAAGUGCUGUGAGUUUGCCAUCGUACUGACUGAGCUGCAGAUCGGAGACUCUGAUGGAUACUACUGUGAAUGGGUGCUAACAGAGCCCAGAAUCAACCAAGUGCAAUCCACUGAGACACUCAUCAUAAUAAGAGAUGGAGACCCAGAAGAAGAAUGCAACAAACAACGCACGAUUCAUCACGUUCUCUUCAUGAUCAGCGUGGCCAUAACUGUCACAAUGUUCAUUAUAUGCGCUGGUCUGCUGAUAUGGAGAAUCCAGCAGGUAAAACAGUCAAAUAAGCGCUAUACGCCUUAUAAAGUGCAUCAAAGGAGUCACCUACCCCACUGUCCCAACAGCAGAAGAUAACAGCAGAAGAUAACAGCAGAACAUAACAGCAGAACAUAACAGCAGCUUGAAUGUCAUAUUCUUUUGAAAUGAUCAAAUUUUACCAGUGUUAUGCAAUAUGCAGUGUUAUUCCAAAAGUUUUAAACGGGGGCAAUUUGAGGCUCAUAAUGAGGUAAAAGAAAAGAAAUCUAACAAAUAAAGAUAUGAUUUUAAACA